UACGAAGGUGGCUAGCGUUGAUCGGAAUUACUGGGCGUAAAGCGCACGCAGGCGGAUUAGUAAGUCAGGGGUGAAAUCCCGGGGCUCAACCUCGGAACUGCCUUUGAUACUGCUGAUCUCGAGUCCGGAAGAGGUGAGUGGAAUUCCUAGUGUAGAGGUGAAAUUCGUAGAUAUUAGGAAGAACACCAGUGGCGAAGGCGGCUCACUGGUCCGGUACUGACGCUGAGGUGCGAAAGCGUGGGGAGCAAACAGG
Molecule: ribosomal RNA, 253 nt
Filed under: uncultured bacterium
Lineage: Bacteria
Description: partial 16S ribosomal RNA
Rfam family: Bacterial small subunit ribosomal RNA
Source: RNAcentral